UCAUUUAGUUGAACUACAGUUUUGGUGUU
Molecule: small RNA, 29 nt
Filed under: Bombyx mori (domestic silkworm)
Lineage: Eukaryota; Metazoa; Arthropoda; Insecta; Lepidoptera; Bombycidae
Description: ovarian small RNA-26388
Source: RNAcentral